AUUUUUUACUACAAAUGCAGAUAAUUCUCCACCCAAAAAAAAUUAAAAAAAGCUGAAGUUGCAGUUAAGGGGGAUUCGUUUAUGGCCCUUUUUCUUUUCCCUUUCUCAUUUUGAUUUCUCAAGUGUUUACAUAAUUGCAUUACUACUAUUACCACAUCUUUAGAAGUUGUAAAAUUCGUUUUACAAUUGGUAAAGUUGAUAGUUUCCUGCUCAAUUUGGUUGCUUUUUGAGCUGAUUCUUUUAUUUUAGUUCAGUUCUUGAAGGUCAUGCUUGUUAGGAAGCUCUUUGUUUUCUUGAUUAUUGCUCUCAGUUGCUUCAAGGUGCUGAGAUUUGUUGGGGCAAAGCUGGUCCAAGAAGAAGUUGAUGCUCUGGAAGAAAUUGCAAGGACAAUGGGCUCAACAUACUGGAAGUUUAAUGCUGAUUCUUGUGAACUUGAAGAGGUUGGAAUAACGCCAGAGCCACCAAAGAAUGCAGAGUACAGCAUAGACUGCAAAUGCAAUAAUGAGAACAAUACUGAUUGUCACGUCAUAAGGAUAUUGCUCAAGGGUUAUAAUCUUCCUGGGUUUCUUCCUCCUCAACUUGUUAAGCUUCCUUACCUCCAAGAAAUUGAUUUUGCUUACAACUUGCUCAAUGGUUCCAUGCCACGUGAAUGGGCUUCAUUGCCAUUGACCUCAAUCUCUGUUCUUGUAAAUCGCUUGUCAGGAGAGAUUCCAAAGGAAUUGGGAAAUAUUACCACACUUACAUAUCUGUGCCUUGAAGCAAAUCAAUUUUCUGGUGCCAUACCUUCUGAACUUGGAAAGUUAAUCAACCUGCAAACAUUGAUUCUGUCCUCAAAUCUGUUGACUGGAAACUUGCCGAUGUCCUUUGCUGGGCUAAUUAAUCUAACAGAUGUGAGGAUAAAUGAUAACAACUUCAACGGAACCAUUCCUAACUUCCUACAGAACUGGAAAAGACUUAUAAGAUUAGAAAUGCAUGCAAGUGGACUGGAGGGCUCCAUUCCAUCAAAUAUUUCCCUUUUGAAUAACUUAGUUGAGUUGUAAGUAUAAAACCAAGUCCUUUCAGCCUAGUAGCCUUAUGCGAUAUAGUUAUUUUAUUUUUUUGCUUACCAAUAUCAUUAUCUUCUGCUCAAGGUGAGGUAUUGUUAAAUUGUGAUACAGGAGAAUUAGUGACAUAAGAGGACCAAGCCAAGGCUUCCCUAAUCUAAGCAACAUGACAGGCAUAACAAGACUGGUUUUGAGGAACUGUAACAUUUCCGGGGAGCUUCAUCGCUAUAUCUGGAGGAUGGCGAAGCUAGAAAUGUUGGAUGUCAGCUUCAACAAGUUGGUUGGGACAAUUCCAGAUACCAUAACUGCGGAGCGUCUGCGAUUUGUCUUUUUAACAAGCAACUUGCUAAGUGGAGAUGUGCCAGAUUCAAUCUUGAAGGAUGGAAGUAAUAUGUAUGUAUCUAUCUGGGAUGUUAUUUCCUUUAUUUGUCUUUUCAGAUGUCAGCAAUUUGUACUGAUUCUGUGUGCUCAUUUUGCUGCUUCUCAUCUCUUAUUUGCUCUUGUUUCUUUGGAGUAUUGCAAUGCAGAGUUAUUUAAUAAGGCCAGGAAACAGAUUGUCCAAUUAAUAUGUGUGUUUGAGCUAAAAAAUUGUUUGCAUUUUUUUUCCCCUAAUAUUUCCAGAUAGUUGAACAGCAUAGCUAUCUACCUACUUGAAAUCAGAAAAAGUAGCACUCUGUUUUUUGGUCUCUCGCAUCUUUUCCUUGCUUGGUUGUCAUUUGAGAGGCAAAUAACAUGUGCGGAUUGUUGCCAGUUAUACUCAAGAAUCACAACAUGAACCCAUAACUGGAAGAGUGUGACACUUCAGAAUAGAAGAAGAAAGUUAGACCUAUUUUUUGCCAGCUUACUUUUUCAUCUUGUUCUUUACUUAGAUGUCCCUUUUUUCAUUCAUCUUUCUUUUCAUUAUUAUGAAUACUGUGGGAAGGCUGAAUCAGGAAAAAAAAUUAAGUUUUCAUUUUAGUUGUGAUUUGUGAACCUGCCUCAGUAAUGUUAGAUUUUAUUUGAAACAAUUUUUAGGCUAUGCCUAACAUUCCUCUAAUGCUUGUACACAGUGACUUGUCAUACAAUAACUUUACAUUGCAAGGCCCUGAACAAUCUGCUUGUCGAGAAAACAUGAACUUAAAUUUGAACUUAUACAGAAGCUCAACAGUGGUGAAUAGCUCAAGACACCUUCCAUGCAUGAAGACUUUCAAAUGUCCCAAGUGUGAGUAGAUGUUUUUUCUGAAAUUCGAUAUUGAUAUUGACUGCUCUAAAAUUCAAUUUAAUGUUUCACAACCUAAUUUAUACUUUCUUCUUGAGCUAGUGAACUUGCCUUGAGAUGCUUUAUCCUUUGUCUUCAUUAACUUAUUUAUUCUUUGUUGACAGAUUCAAGUUGUUUACAUAUUAACAGUGGCGGAAAAGACACAAUCAUCAAGGAAAAUAAAACAUCCAUUUUAUAUGAAGGAGAUGUGGCAGUUGAAGGUGGUGUGGCAAAAUAUUUUAUAAAUGACAAAAGCUACUGGGGAUUUAGUAGCACUGGGGACUUCAUGGAUGAUAACGAUUACCAAAAUACUCGUUAUACUGUGUCUCUGCAAUCGUCAAAUAUUUCUGAACUGUACUCAACAGCACGCAAAUCACCAAUUUCUCUUACGUAUUUCCAUUAUUGUUUACAAAAUGGGGAGUACAUUGUAAAACUUCACUUUGAUGAGAUACAAUUCACUAAUGACAAAACAUAUAGCAGCCUGGGAAGGCGCAUAUUUGAUAUUUAUAUUCAGGUAACUAGAAGCUUCCUAACUGUAGAAAAUUGGGAUGCGAUUUGUGGUUUUGAAUAAAGGGGUUUGGUGGUAGAAAGUAUUCCAAAACACUUUCAGAAAGGAUUCCAUUUUAAAUGUGGAUCCUAUUUAUUUUAAAUGUGGAUCCCACUAUAUAUAUUGUGUCUUGAGUUCAAGAUAGAUCAAGCGUAGCCAAGAAUUUCACAAUGGUGAAUGUCUAAGCCUGGUUUUGACAUAACAAGUAUUUCUUUCUAUCCAAAUACCAUCGUGAGGAAGGCAGGCACAAAUUUGAGGGAAAUUCUUGUCUAUCCUGUCUAUCAUGAAUACAAGACACAAUAUAUGUGGUGGGAUUCACAUAUUUGUGUCUUGAAUCCAUAAUGAAUAAAAAGUGAGGUAGGUUUUGCCAAGAUAAGAAAUUCUUGCCUAUAACUGGUCCAUCAUGAACUCAAAACACAGCAUUCAUGAUGAGACUCAUACAUCCAAAGCCAAAGAAAACACAGCUACUCACAUAAAAGGAAAGAAAAUAGAACAACACCAACUAUGAAUUCAUUCUAUGUUGCAGAAUGAAAGAGUGCAGAAGGAUUUCAAUAUUGAAGAUAAAGCUAAUGGCGUUAAUAAACCAUUCAUAGAAAAGUAUAAUGCUACAGUAACAAAUAACAUCUUGGAGAUCCGCUUCUUUUGGGCUGGCAAAGGUACUACAAGAAUUUCUGUUAGAGGAGUCUAUGGGCCCCUUAUAUCAGCUAUUUCUGUAGAUCCUAGUAAGUGAUCUUUCUUAUUCAUGUUAACACUGCUCCUUCUUUCAUUAACACAUGUUUACUAAGAUAUAAUAUAUCUAGUACAGUUGAUAAUAAUGAAUCACCACAUUGUAAGUAACCCUAGAAAUUUGCCAAAUCAUGGAGAAGCAUUGUUAGAUGCAUCAGAGCUACUGUUGGUAAACUAAUUGACUUGUAAAAUAGUUUUCUGAUGAAUUUUCCUCUCUAAAUUGGUUGGAAUUAAUAUUAAUUGGUCAUAAAUUAGGAUUUCAGGUUUAUGCGCCUAGAUGUUUCUACGUCAUAGAUGUUUAUUCUUUGUUUAUUGUUCACUGAAGUCUGAUAGGUUGGUACUUUUGUAGACUUUGAACCCCCUUCAGAUGGAAGGAAGACAAAAAUUGCACCAAUUGUUGUUGGAGUUGUAGGUUCAUGUCUCAUUCUAUUAGCAUUGAGUAUCAUUGUGUGGAGGUGCUAUUUCAGAGCAAAGAAUGAGACACAAAAAGAUUUUGAAGGACUCAAAAGUCAAACUAUUUCUUUUACCCUAAAGCAAAUUAGAGCUGCCACUAACAAUUUUGAUCCUGCCAACAAAAUUGGAGAAGGUGGAUUUGGACCGGUCUACAAGGGUUUGCUAUCUGAUGGCACAGUAGUUGCUGUGAAACAGCUUUCAUCUAAGUCAAGUCAGGGAAAUCGUGAAUUUUUGAAUGAGAUAGGCAUGAUUUCAUGUUUGCAACACCCAAAUCUUGUCAAGCUGCAUGGAUUUUGUGUUGAAGGGGACCAAUUAUUGCUGAUAUACGAGUACAUGGAAAAUAAUAGUCUUGCUCGUGCUUUGUUUGAUCGUGAAAAUAGCCAUCUUAAGCUGGAUUGGCCUACAAGACAAAAGAUCUGUAUUGGGGUAGCUAAGGGCCUAGCUUUUCUCCAUGAAGAAUCAAGAAUUAAGAUUGUUCAUAGAGAUAUCAAAGCUACUAAUGUG
RNAcentral lists this unclassified non-coding RNA (4510 nucleotides) under Hevea brasiliensis (rubber tree). The record is from RNAcentral. Lineage: Eukaryota; Viridiplantae; Streptophyta; Magnoliopsida; Malpighiales; Euphorbiaceae.